ACCUCUAUGGUGAAACUGGUAGCCGCACUUGAUUCAAAAUCAAGCUCUCGAAAGGGAAUUGUCAGUUCGAAUCUGACUAGAGGUA
RNAcentral lists this transfer RNA (85 nucleotides) under Clostridia bacterium. RNAcentral's name for it is "tRNA-Leu". It matches the Rfam family "tRNA". From Rfam's summary of the family: Transfer RNA (tRNA) molecules are approximately 80 nucleotides in length. Their secondary structure includes four short double-helical elements and three loops (D, anti-codon, and T loops). The record is from RNAcentral. Lineage: Bacteria; Bacillati; Bacillota; Clostridia.